AUACGUAGGUGACAAGCGUUAUCCGGAUUUACUGGGCGUAAAGGGCGUGUAGGCGGUCUUGCAAGUCAGAAGUGAAAUUCCUGAGCUCAACUCGGGCGCUGCUUCUGAAACUGCAGGACUUGAGUGCUGGAGGGGAUAGCGGAAUUCCUAGUGGAGCGGUAAAAUGCGCAGAUAUUAGGAAGAACACCGGUGGCGAAGGCGGCGAGCUGGACAGUAACUGACGCUGAGGCGCGAAAGCGUGGGGAGCAAACAGGAUUAGAUACCCUGGUAUUCCACGCCGUAAACGAUGAAUACUAGGUGUAGGGGGUAUCGACUCCCUCUGUGCCGCAGUUAACACAAUAAGUAUUCCGCCUGGGGAGUACGGCCGCAAGGUUGAAACUCAAAUGAAUUGACGGGG
RNAcentral lists this ribosomal RNA (397 nucleotides) under uncultured bacterium. RNAcentral describes it as "partial 16S ribosomal RNA". It matches the Rfam family "Bacterial small subunit ribosomal RNA", at positions 523 to 918 of the family's 1533-position model. The record is from RNAcentral.